CAUUGCAUGUGCCAUCUACCCAGCUCUGCAGGAAGUCAACGUACCCCAUGUGCCAGUUCGCCUCACCACCUCGAGCGGGAGGCACAACCACAAUGUGGUCGUCACACGCACCUUAACGACACAACCCUUGGGCCCCGUGCUAGCUGGGCUCCAAAAGUAUCACAAGCUCUCGCGAAUGCAGCAGGCUUCGAGGACUUCGGCCCUUGUCUAGACCUUGGUAGGUCAUUAAGCCACCCUCGUCGAGACAAUGGUCGAUCCACCGAUGGGCCCCCUCCGCUCCCUACGGGCGGUCGGGUGCCUUAACAGCAUCGGCAUCGCAAAGGACAUGCCUACCUGGUUG
Molecule: unclassified non-coding RNA, 340 nt
Filed under: Aechmea napoensis
Lineage: Eukaryota; Viridiplantae; Streptophyta; Magnoliopsida; Poales; Bromeliaceae
Description: partial 26S-18S rRNA external transcribed spacer
Source: RNAcentral